CUCCAGUCAGAACAGUGGCUGCUGUUGAAUGAGAGGUUUUCCACCUUGCAGCCCCGCCGUUGAGGAGAAAGGCAGAAAGACGAGAAAGGAGAGAGAAAACACUGUCAGGGACCAGGAUAAGCGUGGUGCAGAGGAAGUGCUCUAGAAAUCUUGUCAGAUGCGUGUUGAAGAGGAAGCUUAGGGCUUCGUGCUCCGGGGACUA
Long non-coding RNA from Talpa occidentalis (Iberian mole), 202 nucleotides. RefSeq lists it as uncharacterized. The record is from RefSeq and is a predicted model, not a curated record. The transcript is spliced from 3 exons. NCBI's taxonomy places the organism in Eukaryota, Metazoa, Chordata, Mammalia, Eulipotyphla, Talpidae.